UGAUACAUUUCUUUAUGGUGG
RNAcentral lists this non-coding RNA (21 nucleotides) under Arabidopsis thaliana (thale cress). The record is from RNAcentral. Lineage: Eukaryota; Viridiplantae; Streptophyta; Magnoliopsida; Brassicales; Brassicaceae.